UACGAAGGGUGCAAGCGUUACUCGGAAUUACUGGGCGUAAAGCGUGCGUAGGUGGUUUUUUAAGUCCGUUGUGAAAGCCCUGGGCUCAACCUGGGAAUGGCAGUGGAUACUGGAAAGCUAGAGUGCGGUAGAGGGUAGUGGAAUUCCCGGUGUAGCAGUGAAAUGCGUAGAGAUCGGGAGGAACACCAGUGGCGAAGGCGGCUACCUGGACCAGCACUGAC
This 221-nucleotide ribosomal RNA is filed under the name uncultured bacterium. Its description in RNAcentral is "partial 16S ribosomal RNA". It matches the Rfam family "Bacterial small subunit ribosomal RNA", at positions 524 to 744 of the family's 1533-position model. The record is from RNAcentral.